AACCUCCCCACAUGAAGAAUUCAGUCAGCUUAGCAGGAAAGGCUGGAAGCCAACAGGUCGCUGAAGGAUGGAGAGCCUCAACUUGCCUGCCUGUGUGAACUUGGCUCAUGAUUUAUAGAGCCUCAGGACCUGGGCUUCCUUGCAAGGUUAUGAAAGAUGCUUCUGAAGAGGAAGGUAUUUACUCCUUGGGACAAGUCAUGUACAACCAAGACAAAUCUACCACACAAACUUCCAGCCUGGAGGAGGCAAAUGCAAAGAAUCGUCCACACCUAAACCUGAGAGUCAUUCAUACUACACAGGGAUUUCUCGAGUUCAACUGGAUGGCAACACUGUCCCCCGAAGAACACAGCUGGGAAGAGCCAGAAAAUAGAACAUUACAUUUGGUAACUGCAUUGGUGUGAGCUGGUAUCAUGAAUGGACACAGUGCCAUUCUCUGCAUUCCUUCUGUAUUGCACUGUGAUGGGAGAGAUCACAAAUACAAUUCCUGCUAUGCAGAUUGCGAUUAUGAUAGAUGAAAACCCCUUUCUUGUUCUCUCUCUUGACCUUCUGGCGUAUGCUGAAUCUAACCGAGUUUUUAAAGGCCCUAAUUCAUAAAUCUAAUAACAACACUAAGAGAAGCUGAGGUGUGUUCUCUUAAUCAUCAAUGGAACUGGUAUCACAUUUUCUUUGUAAAAAAGCUGCAGUAGGGCUGGAAAAAAAGGAUCUUGGCUGAGUUUCAGGCUCGACCGUUAGGCAGGAAACCGUCCUGCUGCCACCAUAAGGAAAAA
RNAcentral lists this long non-coding RNA (767 nucleotides) under Columba livia (rock pigeon). RNAcentral's name for it is "partial uncharacterized LOC102091486". Lineage: Eukaryota; Metazoa; Chordata; Aves; Columbiformes; Columbidae. The record is from RNAcentral.